AUACGUAGGUGGCAAGCGUUGUCCGGAAUUAUUGGGCGUAAAGCGCCUGUAGGCGGUUUGGUAAGUCGGUCGUGAAAAUGCGGUGCUUAACGCCGUAUGGCGAUUGAAACUGCUGAACUUGAGUGCAGGAGAGGAAAGGGGAACUCCCAGUGUAGCGGUGAAAUGCGUAGAUAUUGGGAAGAACACCGGUGGCGAAGGCGCCUUUCUGGACUGUGUCUGACGCUCAGAUGCGAAAGCCAGGGUAGCGAACGGGAUUAGAUACCCCGGUAGUCCUGGCCGUAAACGAUGGGUACUAGGUGUGGGAGGUAUCGACUCCUUCCGUGCCGGAGUUAACGCAAUAAGUACCCCGCCUGGGGAGUACGGCCGCAAGGCUUAAACUCAAAGGAAUUGACGGGG
Molecule: ribosomal RNA, 396 nt
Filed under: uncultured bacterium
Lineage: Bacteria
Description: partial 16S ribosomal RNA
Rfam family: Bacterial small subunit ribosomal RNA
Source: RNAcentral